GACGAACGCUGGCGGCGUGCUUAACACAUGCAAGUCGAGCGGUAAGGCCCUUUAGGGGUACCACGGAGCGGCGAACGGGUGAGUAACACGUGGGCAAUCUACCUUCAGUCUGGGAUAACCUUCCGAAAGGAGGGCUAAUACCGGAUGAUGUCCUGUUGGGGCAUCCUGAGGGGAGCAAAGGGGGCGACCCGCAAGGGGCGUCUCGCUGGAGGAGGAGCCUGCGUCCGAUUAGCUAGUUGGUGGGGUAACGGCUCACCAAGGCGACGAUCGGUAGCCGGCCUGAG
Molecule: ribosomal RNA, 284 nt
Filed under: uncultured bacterium
Lineage: Bacteria
Description: partial 16S ribosomal RNA
Rfam family: Bacterial small subunit ribosomal RNA
Source: RNAcentral